UGGGGAAUCUUGGACAAUGGGCGCAAGCCUGAUCCAGCCAUGCCGCGUGAGUGACGAAGGCCUUAGGGUUGUAAAGCUCUUUUGCCGGGGACGUGGUACCCGGAGAAUAAGUCCCGGCUAACUUCGUGCCAGCAGCCGCGGUAAUACGAAGGGGACUAGCGUUGUUCGGAAUUACUGGGCGUAAAGCGCACGUAGGCGGAUUUGUAAGUCAGGGGUGAAAUCCCGGGGCUCAACCUCGGAACUGCCUUUGAUACUGCAAAUCUCGAGUCCGAUAGAGGUGGGUGGAAUUCCUAGUGUAGAGGUGAAAUUCGUAGAUAUUAGGAAGAACACCGGUGGCGAAGGCGGCCCACUGGAUCGGUACUGACGCUGAGGUGCGAAAGCGUGGGGAGCAAACAGGAUUAGAUACCCUAGUAGU
RNAcentral lists this ribosomal RNA (415 nucleotides) under uncultured bacterium. RNAcentral describes it as "bacterial SSU rRNA". It matches the Rfam family "Bacterial small subunit ribosomal RNA", at positions 355 to 794 of the family's 1533-position model. The record is from RNAcentral.